AAGUCGUAACAAGGUUUCCGUAGGUGAACCUGCGGAAGGAUCAUUACAGAGUUCGUGCCCUUCGGGGUAGAUCUCCCACCCUUGUGUAUUUAUACUUUGUUGCUUUGGCAGGCCGUUGGCUUAGCCCAGCUACCGGCCCCGGCUGGUAAGCGCCUGCCAGAGGACCCCAAACUCUGAAUAUUUAUGUCGUCUGAGUACUAUAUAAUAGUUAAAACUUUCAACAACGGAUCUCUUGGUUCUG
RNAcentral lists this unclassified non-coding RNA (241 nucleotides) under air metagenome. Its description in RNAcentral is "partial contains small subunit ribosomal RNA, internal transcribed spacer 1, and 5.8S ribosomal RNA". The stretch from base 1 to 46 matches the Rfam family "Eukaryotic small subunit ribosomal RNA", at positions 1786 to 1831 of the family's 1831-position model. The record is from RNAcentral.